RNAcentral lists this long non-coding RNA (274 nucleotides) under Malus domestica (apple). Its description in RNAcentral is "long non-coding RNA (MDOM_LNC018436)". Lineage: Eukaryota; Viridiplantae; Streptophyta; Magnoliopsida; Rosales; Rosaceae. The record is from RNAcentral.
AAAAUCACCGUCAAAGUCGGAGAUAUGCUCACGAACAGGUUGUGAGCUACGGGUCAUAAACUAGUACCUGUACACAAGAGCAACAAAGUUAGUAACCAACUUAAGAGACUCGGCACACAAACAAAACACACACACACGGUGCAAAAAAAAAAAAAAAAAAAAAAAAAAAAACUAAACAAUUUAAACAAGACUCAAGACAAGGAAUUAGCGACUUUGCUAAUCCCCGGCAACGGCGCCAAAAAUUUGAUGCGAAAUAUAUAUGCACACAAAUUAA